RNAcentral lists this ribosomal RNA (561 nucleotides) under Triticum aestivum (bread wheat). Its description in RNAcentral is "partial small subunit ribosomal RNA". The record is from RNAcentral. Lineage: Eukaryota; Viridiplantae; Streptophyta; Magnoliopsida; Poales; Poaceae.
AUGCCAGCUUUGCAUGAUGCACCGAUCCUGACGAGACGUGAGGCACUCUCCUGGUGCUUUUCUGCACCUACACCUGCCCCCAUAGAUACCAUUAUCUUGUUCUCUUCUUUUUUGGAAUUGAAGUUCACACAUAACAGAGGAAGAAAAGUUCAGAGAGAUUUUGCAUACAAAAUUCAGAAAAAUGCUAUUCAGAUAGUGAUGCACUUUUUUCAUUAUAUAUGUACGUACAUGUUUAUGCUAGCUCGUACUCUCUUUUGCUAUCACUUUGUUAAGGUUCUGGAUUUGAAAACUAUGUGCAUGUUGAAGAGAAGCAACAAUCUGUGCGAGAAGUUCAAAUAUAAUGACAACACAUGUUCAUGUAUUACCAAGAGAGUGAGAGGAGGCCGAGCUUUUGCACCACAUCCAACACGACCUCCCGUCCGGCGACUCCGUGAGCCAGAGGCAUGCACGUCCUCGUCUGCCUUGUAUGCUGCCCAGCAGACAAGAUUCAAACUGCUCCAUGCGACUCGCUGCAAUACGGAUUGGGGUGGAGGCACUGUCCAAGUAAGAACAUUGUUGUAA